This 511-nucleotide ribosomal RNA is filed under the name Drosophila nr. hirtitarsus RL-2010. RNAcentral's name for it is "partial 16S ribosomal RNA". The stretch from base 387 to 511 matches the Rfam family "Bacterial large subunit ribosomal RNA", at positions 2473 to 2597 of the family's 2925-position model. Lineage: Eukaryota; Metazoa; Arthropoda; Insecta; Diptera; Drosophilidae. The record is from RNAcentral.
GUCUUUUUGAAUUAAAUUUAAAGUCUAACCUGCCCACUGAAAUUUUUUAAAUGGCCGCAGUAUUCUAACUGUGCAAAGGUAGCAUAAUCAUUAGUCUUUUAAUUGAAGGCUGGAAUGAAUGGUUGGACGAAAUAUUAACUGUUUCAUUUAAAUUUUUAAUAGAAUUUUAUUUUUUAGUUAAAAAGCUAAAAUAAAUUUAAAAGACGAGAAGACCCUAUAAAUCUUUAUAUUUUAUUUAUUUUAAUUAUAAAGAUUAUUUUUAUUAUAAUAAGUUAAAAUAUUUUAUUGGGGUGAUAUUAAAAUUUAAAAAACUUUUAAUUUUUAAAACCAUUAAUUUAUGAAUAAUUGAUCCAUUAAUAAUGAUUAAAAAUUUAAGUUACUUUAGGGAUAACAGCGUAAUUUUUUUGGAGAGUUCAUAUCGAUAAAAAAGAUUGCGACCUCGAUGUUGGAUUAAGAUAUAAUUUUGGGUGUAGCCGUUCAAAUUUUAAGUCUGUUCGACUUUUAAAUUCUU